CGCGUGCUCCGGGGUCGGUGCAAUUCCGAGCCGGCGGUGACAGUCCGCGACCCGCGGUCCCAUCACUCGUGAUGAGGCCACGGUUGAGCCGGUGAAAUUCCGGCACCGACGGUGAAAGUCCGGAUGGGAGGAGCACUGU
This 139-nucleotide non-coding RNA is filed under the name Aeromicrobium sp. Root344. RNAcentral describes it as "FMN riboswitch aptamer (RFN element)". It matches the Rfam family "FMN riboswitch aptamer (RFN element)". Rfam says of the family: The RFN element is a highly conserved domain that is found frequently in the 5'-untranslated regions of prokaryotic mRNAs that encode for flavin mononucleotide (FMN) biosynthesis and transport proteins. This element is a metabolite-dependent riboswitch that directly binds FMN in the absence of proteins. The record is from Rfam by way of RNAcentral. Lineage: Bacteria; Bacillati; Actinomycetota; Actinomycetes; Propionibacteriales; Nocardioidaceae. RNAcentral also lists the same sequence under 1 other name.